GUACCUACGGGGCGCAGCAGUGUGUAAUCUUGCACCAUUUUUUAAACCCUGAUGCAGCGACGCCGCGUGAGCGAUGAAGUAUCUCGGUAUGUAAAGCUCUAUCAGCAGGGAAGAAAGUGACAGUACCUGACUAAGAAGCCCCGGCUAACUACGUGCCAGCAGCCGCGGUAAUACGUAGGGGGCAAGCGUUAUCCGGAUUCACUGGGCGUAAAGGGAGCGCAGGCGGCACGGCAAGUCUGGUGUGAAAACCCGGGGCUCAACCCCGGGACUGCAUUGGAAACUGCCGGGCUGGAGUGUCGGAGGGG
Molecule: ribosomal RNA, 305 nt
Filed under: uncultured bacterium
Lineage: Bacteria
Description: bacterial SSU rRNA
Rfam family: Bacterial small subunit ribosomal RNA
Source: RNAcentral